GGACAUCAUGGGGACAUCCUUGGGGACAUCCAUGGGGACAUCCAUUGGGACACUAUGGGGACACCGAGGGAUAUCGUGGAGAUACUCAUGGGGACACCAGGGGACACCAUGGGGACACCAUGUGGACAUCCUUGGGGACAUUAUAUGGACAUCAUGGGGACAUCCAUUGGGACACCAUUGGGACACCAUGGGGACAUCCAUUGGGACAUCCAUUGGGACAUCCAUUGGGACACCGUGGGGACAUCAUGGGGACACUUAUGGGGACACUUAUGGGGACACCACAGGGACAUCAUGGGGACAUCCAUUGGGACACCAUGGGGACAUCCAUUGGGAAGUCCAUUGGGACACCAUGGGGACACCAUGGGGACAUCCUUUGGGACAUCCAUGGAGACCCCAUGGGGACAUCCAUUGGGACACCAUGGGGACACCAUGAGGACACCAUGGGGACACCGACUGGGACACCACAGGGACACCGCUUGGUCACCCAUUGGGACACCCCUGGGAUUGGGGACACGGGGCCAAAGAUGCCACGCCAAACCAUCCCCACCCCACGUCCUCCCACUGCAAGCCGCUCCCCCAUUUUAA
Molecule: long non-coding RNA, 585 nt
Filed under: Phasianus colchicus (ring-necked pheasant)
Lineage: Eukaryota; Metazoa; Chordata; Aves; Galliformes; Phasianidae
Description: lncRNA (ENSPCLG00000016651.1)
Source: RNAcentral